UCCCUAGUGGCUCAUAUGGUAAAGGGUCUGCCUGCCAUGCGGGAAAUCCAGGUUCGAUCCCUGGUUUGUGAA
Molecule: transfer RNA, 72 nt
Filed under: Bos taurus (domestic cattle)
Lineage: Eukaryota; Metazoa; Chordata; Mammalia; Artiodactyla; Bovidae
Also listed under: 4 other names
Rfam family: tRNA
About the family: Transfer RNA (tRNA) molecules are approximately 80 nucleotides in length.
Source: Rfam by way of RNAcentral